This 253-nucleotide ribosomal RNA is filed under the name uncultured bacterium. Its description in RNAcentral is "partial 16S ribosomal RNA". It matches the Rfam family "Bacterial small subunit ribosomal RNA", at positions 524 to 776 of the family's 1533-position model. The record is from RNAcentral.
UACGUAGGGUGCGAGCGUUGUCCGGAAUUAUUGGGCGUAAAGGGCUCGUAGGCGGUUUGUCGCGUCGGGAGUGAAAACGCCGUGCUUAACACGGCGCUUGCUUUCGAUACGGGCAGACUAGAGGUAUUCAGGGGAGAACGGAAUUCCUGGUGUAGCGGUGAAAUGCGCAGAUAUCAGGAGGAACACCGGUGGCGAAGGCGGUUCUCUGGGAAUGACCUGACGCUGAGGAGCGAAAGCGUGGGGAGCAAACAGG